RNAcentral lists this ribosomal RNA (382 nucleotides) under Eremias multiocellata. RNAcentral's name for it is "partial 12S ribosomal RNA". It matches the Rfam family "Bacterial small subunit ribosomal RNA", at positions 794 to 1376 of the family's 1533-position model. The record is from RNAcentral. Lineage: Eukaryota; Metazoa; Chordata; Lepidosauria; Squamata; Lacertidae.
GCUAAGCCAUUAACAUUGAUAGCAUCUUAUACCCUGCUUUCCGCCAGAGAACUACAAGUGAAAAACUUCAAACUCAAAGGACUUGGCGGUGUCCCAUACCAACCUAGAGGAGCCUGUCCUAUAAUCGAUACCCCCCGUUCUACCUAACCUCUACUAGCACCUUUCAGCCUAUAUACCGCCGUCGACAGUCUACCCCAUGAGGGCCCAACAGUAGACAUAAUAGCUACGCUCGCUAAUACGUCAGGUCAAGGUGUAGCAUAUGUUGAGGAAGAGAUUGGCUACAUUUUUUAUCUUAAAAAAUACGGAAUGCAACAUGAAACCCUGCAUGAAGGUGAAUUUAGUAGUAAGAUAAAACAAGAGUGUUUAUCUUAACAACGCUCUG